RNAcentral lists this ribosomal RNA (279 nucleotides) under uncultured methanogenic archaeon. RNAcentral describes it as "partial 16S ribosomal RNA". It matches the Rfam family "Archaeal small subunit ribosomal RNA", at positions 1047 to 1325 of the family's 1478-position model. The record is from RNAcentral. Lineage: Archaea; Methanobacteriati; Methanobacteriota.
GAGACCUGUAUCUACCGUUGCUAACGCGCCCGCAAGGGUGAGCGAGCACACUGUAGAGACUGCCUUCGAAAGAAGGAGGAAGGUGCAGGCUACGCUAGGUCUGUACGCCCCGAAUCUGCUGGGCUACACGCGCGCAACAAUGGUCGUGACAAUGGGAUGCAACACCGAAAGGUGAAGCCAAACCUCGAAACACGACCCUAGUAUGAAUUGAGGGUUGCAACUCACCCUCAUGACAUCGGAAUCCCUAGUAAUCAGAGGUUAGCAUCCUCCGGUGAAUAU